AUACGUAGGGUGCAAGCGUUAUCCGGAAUUAUUGGGCGUAAAGGGCUCGUAGGCGGUUCGUCGCGUCCGGUGUGAAAGUCCAUCGCUUAACGGUGGAUCCGCGCCGGGUACGGGCGGGCUUGAGUGCGGUAGGGGAGACUGGAAUUCCCGGUGUAACGGUGGAAUGUGUAGAUAUCGGGAAGAACACCAAUGGCGAAGGCAGGUCUCUGGGCCGUUACUGACGCUGAGGAGCGAAAGCGUGGGGAGCGAACAGGAUUAGAUACCCUGGUAGUCCACGCCGUAAACGGUGGAUGCUGGAUGUGGGGCCCGUUCCACGGGUUCCGUGUCGGAGCUAACGCGUUAAGCAUCCCGCCUGGGGAGUACGGCCGCAAGGCUAAAACUCAAAGAAAUUGACGGGGGCCCGCACAAGCGGCGGAGCAUGCGGAUUAAUUCGAUGCAACGCGAAGAACCUUACCUGGGCUUGACAUGUUCCCGACGGUCGUAGAGAUACGGCUUCCCUUCGGGGCGGGUUCACAGGUGGUGCAUGGUCGUCGUCAGCUCGUGUCGUGAGAUGUUGGGUUAAGUCCCGCAACGAGCGCAACCCUCGCCCCGUGUUGCCAGCGGAUUAUGCCGGGAACUCACGGGGGACCGCCGGGGUUAACUCGGAGGAAGGUGGGGAUGACGUCAGAUCAUCAUGCCCCUUACGUCCAAGGCUUCACGCAUGCUACAAUGGCCGGUACAACGGGAUGCGACGCGGCGACGCGGAGCGGAUCCCUGAAAACCGGUCUCAGUUCGGAUCGCAGUCUGCAACUCGACUGCGUGAAGGCGGAGUCGCUAGUAAUCGCGAAUCAGCAACGUCGCGGUGAAUGCGUUCCCGGGCCUUGUACACACCGCCCGUCAAGUCAUGAAAGUGGGCAGCACCCGAAGCCGGUGGCCUAACCCCUUGUGGGAUGGAGCCGUCUAAGGUGAGGCUCGUGAUUGGGACU
RNAcentral lists this ribosomal RNA (965 nucleotides) under uncultured bacterium. Its description in RNAcentral is "bacterial SSU rRNA". It matches the Rfam family "Bacterial small subunit ribosomal RNA", at positions 523 to 1482 of the family's 1533-position model. The record is from RNAcentral.